GUCUAUGGUCAUGCUUCCCUGAGCAAGCCCAAUCUCGUUUGAUCUUGGAAGCUAAGCAGGGUAGGGCCUGGUUAGUACUUGGAUGGGAGACCACCGAAGAAGACCAGGUGCUGUAGGCA
RNAcentral lists this ribosomal RNA (119 nucleotides) under Pteropus alecto (black flying fox). Lineage: Eukaryota; Metazoa; Chordata; Mammalia; Chiroptera; Pteropodidae. The record is from RNAcentral.